AGCUUACUCUGAUUCCAGCAUUGCCUCACAUUGGAGCAGAGGCCCAGACCUUCUGGGGCACAGAAAGCCACACAGAGUGUCUGUAGUCAAAUGAAAUGCCAGAGAAGGAACACCUAAGUUCAUAGGCUCUCUGCUCAUCAGAGCCACUAGACAAUCUAUGGGGUCCUCCACAAGCAGCAAUUGGUUUUGCAAAGUGUUUUUUUGAGAAUGGUAACAGGAUUUUCUACAGUGCCAAGUGAGUGAAGGGGGGACAGGAAAAAGUAACAGCUUUGGCUGUUGAUACAAAUGUUGAAUCAAAGAGAUCUCCGGGCAUCUAGUGGUUCACCGGGAAAACUGCAUCUGCAAGCCAGAGGCUCGGGGAUGAACUGAGAGCAGGGAGAAGGGGAUGAGGAAUGCUGCAGGGGAAUGCUGCCACCUGUUCCGAGCCCGGCCAGCCCUUGGGACUCAGGCACACAAGUUCAGUGUCUCUGCAUGCAUCGCUGCCCAACCCUCAUUGUCACCAUUAGAUGACGCUGAUAGGAACCAGGCAGGCUGGGGAAUGCAGGGAUGUGAUUGUUUGCUCUCUUCAUCCAUUCACAAACAGUGAUAAAUCAGAUCUUUCCUAAUGGAGCAGCAAAAAUGAGGACUACCCUUGUGAUUAAUGGAAUACAAAGCCAAGAAUAGGAUACAAAGAAAUGCCUCCAUUUUCCUUGUAUUAAUGGCGCAUAUUAAAAAUUGAGUGUUUACAAUAUGGAAAUGCUGCUCACUCCUACAAGAACUGUCCCUCUCAGUACAGCAGCACAGGAGAUUAGGUGCAGCUAUCACAGUCACACACAUAUCAUUUAAAUCCUUAUUUUUAUCCAUAUAAGUGUAAAUACCUUGGCUAACCGUGAUAAUUUUGCAGGCUAUUAUUCACUUUUUUAAGGGUAAUGUUUGGCCUAGAGCUAGACUACAAGGGGCUUCUUUCUAAAUUCUGCAUCUUGCAGGCAACAGUUAAAAUUUAAAUUUCCAGAGAGCUCGGCUGAGAUCAGAGCUUUGUGCCAAGCAUUGAGUAAAUAUAAGAAAGAGAGCCCUGAGUACAAAUUAAAAUUCUGACAGAAACUGAGGUGAAAGGAAAGGCAGUUCAUGUGUAGAAACAGACAUUUUAGUGCAAGGAAAUAGAACAGAGAUGAGCAGGGAGGACAAGUAAAUGGAAACCAAUUGUCACUUCUAUGUCCAUCAUCCUAAGAUCUCCCCCCAGCCUUGAAGUGUUGCCUUAUGUUUUAAUGUAGUACAAAAUAAAGCACAUGCUCUCUGAUUUCAAUGCCACAACUGAGAAAGCAACAAGUACAUUUCUCCCUUGAUUGUAAAUUAGAUCUCUACACUAUAAGAAGUGAAAAGCAUUUUAUUCGAGUUGUAACUUCACAGUGUGAAAUUAGAAAGUGCCAAAAUAGUUGAGGUACGCAGAAUCUUGGUUCACUCCUCUUGUGUCUCUAUUACACCACACUUCAGUUUCUUGAUUAUAUGCUA
Molecule: long non-coding RNA, 1488 nt
Organism: Zonotrichia leucophrys gambelii
Lineage: Eukaryota; Metazoa; Chordata; Aves; Passeriformes; Passerellidae
Exons: 3
Source: RefSeq, a predicted model, not a curated record